Molecule: ribosomal RNA, 512 nt
Filed under: uncultured Campylobacterota bacterium
Lineage: Bacteria; Pseudomonadati; Campylobacterota
Description: bacterial SSU rRNA
Rfam family: Bacterial small subunit ribosomal RNA
Source: RNAcentral
GUUAUAAGACGAGUCGGGAAAGUUUUUCGCUAAGGGAUCAGUCUAUGUUCCAUCAGUUAGUUGGUGAGGUAAUGGCUCACCAAGACUAUGACGGAUAUCUGGUUUGAGAGGAUGAUCAGACACACUGGAGCUGAGACACGGUCCAGACUCCUACGGGAGGCAGCAGUGAGGAAUAUUGCACAAUGGAGGAAACUCUGAUGCAGCAACGCCGCGUGGAGGAUGACGCAUUUCGGUGUGUAAACUCCUUUUAUUAGGGAAGAUAAUGACGGUACCUAAUGAAUAAGCACCGGCUAACUCCGUGCCAGCAGCCGCGGUAAUACGGAGGGUGCAAGCGUUACUCGGAAUCACUGGGCGUAAAGGGUGCGUAGGCUGGCUUCUAAGUCAGAUGUGAAAUCCAAUGGCUCAACCAUUGAACUGCAUUUGAAACUGGGAGCCUAGAGUUCAGAAGGGGCAGAUGGAAUUAGUGGUGUAGGGGUAAAAUCCGUAGAUAUCACUAGGAAUAUCAAAAGCGA